GGUGAGUAACACGUGGGUGAUCUGCCCUGCACUUUGGGAUAAGCCUGGGAAACUGGGUCUAAUACCGAAUAGGACCAUGGCAUGCAUGUGCUGUGGUGGAAAGCUUUUGCGGUGUGGGAUGGGCCCGCGGCCUAUCAGCUUGUUGGUGGGGUGAUGGCCUACCAAGGCGACGACGGGUAGCCGGCCUGAGAGGGUGUCCGGCCACACUGGGACUGAGAUACGGCCCAGACUCCUACGGGAGGCAGCAGUGGGGAAUAUUGCACAAUGGGCGCAAGCCUGAUGCAGCGACGCCGCGUGAGGGAUGACGGCCUUCGGGUUGUAAACCUCUUUCGCCAGGGACGAAGCGCAAGUGACGGUACCUGGAGAAGAAGCACCGGCCAACUACGUGCCAGCAGCCGCGGUAAUACGUAGGGUGCGAGCGUUGUCCGGAAUUACUGGGCGUAAAGAGCUCGUAGGUGGUUUGUCGCGUUGUUCGUGAAAACUCACAGCUUAACUGUGGGCGUGCGGGCGAUACGGGCAGACUGGAGUACUGCAGGGGAGACUGGAAUUCCUGGUGUAGCGGUGGAAUGCGCAGAUAUCAGGAGGAACACCGGUGGCGAAGGCGGGUCUCUGGGCAGUAACUGACGCUGAGGAGCGAAAGCGUGGGGAGCGAACAGGAUUAGAUACCCUGGUAGUCCACGCCGUAAACGGUGGGUACUAGGUGUGGGUUUCCUUCCUUGGGAUCCGUGCCGUAGCUAACGCAUUAAGUACCCCGCCUGGGGAGUACGGCCGCAAGGCUAAAACUCAAAGGAAUUGACGGGGGCCCGCACAAGCGGCGGAGCAUGUGGAUUAAUUCGAUGCAACGCGAAGAACCUUACCUGGGUUUGACAUGCACAGGACGCCGGCAGAGAUGUCGGUUCCCUUGUGGCCUGUGUGCAGGUGGUGCAUGGCUGUCGUCAGCUCGUGUCGUGAGAUGUUGGGUUAAGUCCCGCAACGAGCGCAACCCUUGUCUCAUGUUGCCAGCACGUCAUGGUGGGGACUCGUGAGAGACUGCCGGGGUCAACUCGGAGGAAGGUGGGGAUGACGUCAAGUCAUCAUGCCCCUUAUGUCCAGGGCUUCACACAUGCUACAAUGGCCGGUACAAAGGGCUGCGAUGCCGUGAGGUGGAGCGAAUCCUUUCAAAGCCGGUCUCAGUUCGGAUCGGGGUCUGCAACUCGACCCCGUGAAGUCGGAGUCGCUAGUAAUCGCAGAUCAGCAACGCUGCGGUGAAUACGUUCCCGGGCCUUGUACACACCGCCCGUCACGUCAUGAAAGUCGGUAACACCCGAAGCCGGUGG
Molecule: ribosomal RNA, 1316 nt
Filed under: Mycobacterium sp.
Lineage: Bacteria; Bacillati; Actinomycetota; Actinomycetes; Mycobacteriales; Mycobacteriaceae
Description: bacterial SSU rRNA
Rfam family: Bacterial small subunit ribosomal RNA
Source: RNAcentral